AGAACAAAUUGGAACGGAACAGUUUCCAAACAGUGAAGGAGGUUUUUCCAAACUCAUCCCUAACUGAACGUGAGGAUGAAUUGGCAUUAGGCGAACACAGUCAGUUAUUCAGUCCACCAUCAGACAGUGCGUUAAAUUUAAAUUCUGUUAGUGCUGCACUAAAAGAAUUGUUCGUAAUCAGUCCAUGCAGCGAUGGAACUGAACAAUUGUGGGACCGUAUUUGGGCUGAAAAUGGGUGUGGUACGGAAACCCAGAAAUGGCACGAGUUCAACCUAAAACAUGGAUUAGAAUUUUAGCGGGGGAUCAAGUCAAAUAUGGAAGUGUUACAGGAUGGAAGAGUCAGCCUGUAGUUGAAAAAACACAGAGUGCAUUACCGUUAAGGUGUGAGCAAUCCUUUAUAGUUCUGUCACAGCUAGAAGCCUCAAAUAAUUCUGCUUCUCUUGCUAAAGAACAACUUGUCCUUUACGUUCACAGUGUUGGUGAAACUGGGUACUUAAAUGGCCCUAAGAUUUUGCUGCCGUUGCAGAGAUGAACAUCAUACAUGGACUCUUUAGGAAAGGAUUUUCAGCAUACUGGGAACACAACUAUCAACAAUGCAACAUUCUACGCGUGCUAUUUUAUCAUUCAAGAGCCUUAUACAAUGAUUUUCAUCUGCAAUUUGUAUGGCCUUUCCCAAGCUUCUGCCAGAAGUUGAAUCUAUAAGUCAUGUAAGUCACAUGAGCAACAAUUGAGAUGCUUAAUGGUGUUGUUUUUCUUUUCUCAGCAUAGGUUAAUAGUAACGUGGAUGGAGAGAAUAACGCGUGGCUGGAGGAACAAUUGAAAAAUGGAUAAGAUAAUACAACAAAAGGAUGAUCAAAUUAUGAAGCUGCAGGCCCAAUUAUUGGAACAACACAAAAUAUUAGAUAACAGCAAAGCUAAGGAUG
Daphnia carinata is the source of this 923-nucleotide long non-coding RNA. RefSeq lists it as uncharacterized. The record is from RefSeq and is a predicted model, not a curated record. The transcript has 6 exons. NCBI's taxonomy places the organism in Eukaryota, Metazoa, Arthropoda, Branchiopoda, Diplostraca, Daphniidae.